Molecule: non-coding RNA, 112 nt
Organism: Acanthosepion pharaonis
Lineage: Eukaryota; Metazoa; Mollusca; Cephalopoda; Sepiida; Sepiidae
Source: the annotation of a GenBank genome assembly
ACGGCUACAUCACAUGGAAAUACCGGUUCCCGUACAAUCAUCAAAAUUAAACAACGUCGAGUCUGGUCAGUAUCUAGAUGGGUGACUGCUUGGGAAUACCAGGUGCUGUAAG